AGCGAACGCUGGCGGCAUGCUUAACACAUGCAAGUCUCACGGGCAGCAAUGUCAGUGGCGGACGGGUGAGUAACGCGUAGGUAUCUGUCCUUGGGUGGGGGAUAACAGUGGGAAACUACUGCUAAUACCGCAUGAUAACUGAGGUUCAAAGGCGCAAGUCGCCUGGGGAGGAGCCUGCGUACGAUUAGCUAGUUGGUGGGGUAAAGGCCUACCAAGGCUACGAUCGUUAGCUGGUCUGAGAGGAUGAUCAGCCACAUUGGGACUGAGACACGGCCCAAACUCCUACGGGAGGCAGCAGUGGGGAAUAUUGGACAAUGGGCGAAAGCCUGAUCCAGCAAUGCCGCGUGUGUGAAGAAGGUCUUCGGAUUGUAAAGCACUUUCGACG
Molecule: ribosomal RNA, 385 nt
Filed under: uncultured bacterium
Lineage: Bacteria
Description: bacterial SSU rRNA
Rfam family: Bacterial small subunit ribosomal RNA
Source: RNAcentral